UCGAGAAUUUUUCUCAAUGGGGGAAACCCUGAAGGAGCGACGCCGCGUGGAGGAUGAAGGUCUUCGGAUUGUAAACUCCUGUCAUUGGUGAACAAGGCCCUCGGUUAACUGCCGUUGGGUUUGAUAGUAGCCGAAGAGGAAGAGACGGCUAACUCUGUGCCAGCAGCCGCGGUAAUACAGAGGUCUCAAGCGUUGUUCGGAUUCAUUGGGCGUAAAGGGUGCGUAGGUGGCGACGCAAGUCUGGUGUGAAAUCCCGGGGCUCAACCCCGGAACUGCACUGGAUACUGCGUUGCUUGAGCACUGGAGAGGGAACUGGAAUUUACGGUGUAGCAGUGAAAUGCGUAGAUAUCGUAAGGAAGACCAGUGGCGAAGGCGAGUUCCUGGACAGUUGCUGACACUGAGGCACGAAGGCCAGGGGAGCAAAC
RNAcentral lists this ribosomal RNA (425 nucleotides) under uncultured bacterium. Its description in RNAcentral is "bacterial SSU rRNA". It matches the Rfam family "Bacterial small subunit ribosomal RNA", at positions 355 to 773 of the family's 1533-position model. The record is from RNAcentral.